This 75-nucleotide transfer RNA is filed under the name Bellilinea caldifistulae. RNAcentral's name for it is "tRNA-Met". It matches the Rfam family "tRNA". Rfam says of the family: Transfer RNA (tRNA) molecules are approximately 80 nucleotides in length. Their secondary structure includes four short double-helical elements and three loops (D, anti-codon, and T loops). Further hydrogen bonds mediate the characteristic L-shaped molecular structure. tRNAs have two regions of fundamental functional importance: the anti-codon, which is responsible for specific mRNA codon recognition, and the 3' end, to which the tRNAs corresponding amino acid is attached (by aminoacyl-tRNA synthetases). tRNAs cope with the degeneracy of the genetic code in two manners: having more than one tRNA (with a specific anti-codon) for a particular amino acid; and 'wobble' base-pairing, i.e. permitting non-standard base-pairing at the 3rd anti-codon position. Lineage: Bacteria; Bacillati; Chloroflexota; Anaerolineae; Anaerolineales; Anaerolineaceae. The record is from RNAcentral. RNAcentral also lists the same sequence under 3 other names.
GGGCCCGUAGCUCAGCGGCAGAGCGCGCGGCUCAUAACCGCUUGGUCGAAGGUUCGAAUCCUUCCGGGCCCACAA